This 572-nucleotide ribosomal RNA is filed under the name uncultured Glomeromycotina. RNAcentral's name for it is "SSU rRNA". It matches the Rfam family "Eukaryotic small subunit ribosomal RNA", at positions 548 to 1114 of the family's 1831-position model. Lineage: Eukaryota; Fungi; Glomeromycota. The record is from RNAcentral.
UUGGAGGGCAAGUCUGGUGCCAGCAGCCGCGGUAAUUCCAGCUCCAAUAGCGUAUAUUAAAGUUGUUGCAGUUAAAAAGCUCGUAGUUGAAUUUCGGGAUUGACGUGAUGGUCAUGCCUUAAGGGGUAUGAACUGUCACUGUUGAUUUCUCACCUUCUGGAGAAACUUGAUGUCCUUUAUUGGGUGUCUUGCGGAUCCAGGACCUUUACCUUGAAAAAAUUAGAGUGUUUAAAGCAGGCAUUUUUGCUCGAAUACAUUAGCAUGGAAUAAUAGAAUAGGACGGCAUGGUUCUAUUUUGUUGGUUUCUAGGAUCACCGUAAUGAUUAAUAGGGAUAGUUGGGGGCAUUAGUAUUCAAUUGUCAGAGGUGAAAUUCUUGGAUUUAUUGAAGACUAACUACUGCGAAAGCAUUUGCCAAGGAUGUUUUCAUUAAUCAAGAACGAAAGUUAGGGGAUCGAAGACGAUCAGAUACCGUCGUAGUCUUAACCAUAAACUAUGCCGACUAGGAAUCAGACGAUGUUAAUUUUUUAAUGACUCGUUUGACACCUUACGGGAAACCAAAGUGUUUGGGUUC